UUCACACCCAAAGCCAAUAAUCGGAGUUUUUAGUAACAGUGGUUUACACAGUGGGGUGAACAGCAAGCAAAUUUCGUUGCCUGUUAUGGGGCUGUGCCCUGCCCCUCACAGUGAGUUUUAAUUGUUUACCUCA
Molecule: small nucleolar RNA, 133 nt
Filed under: Dasypus novemcinctus (nine-banded armadillo)
Lineage: Eukaryota; Metazoa; Chordata; Mammalia; Cingulata; Dasypodidae
Description: Small nucleolar RNA SNORA68 (ENSDNOG00000034051.1)
Rfam family: Small nucleolar RNA SNORA68
About the family: U68 is a member of the H/ACA class of small nucleolar RNAs (snoRNAs) which act as guides in the the modification of uridines to pseudouridines.
Source: RNAcentral